GUCAUGGGUUUGGAGAUAUGGAUCAUAUUUCUGUGUGAAUUCCAUUGCUAAAAUUAGUCUCGGUCAUUCCUUUCAACCACAGAAUAGUACGGAAGGUGCAGGUAGACCAACUGAUGGCAGACGGUCUUUGGUUUGAGAGAGGAAAAUCUGCAAACUGGCCAUUACCUAAACGUUCCUCGAUGGAUGACCAAGGAAUCGAUGGAUUCCAAAUCCACCACUUCUGAUCUUAGAAAGAAGGGAGGAUUUUCAGAUGCUUUGAGAAACUUUUCUCACCUGUUUCACUUCCCUUUAGAUGCCAGAUGUUCUGUAAUCAGCGCUUAAGUGAUCAAAACAAGAUGAGAAAUCUGGAAUUGGAUUCAGUGAGGCUGGCUUGAUCUUCAACAGACAAGGUAGGUGAAGAUGCAGUGCAGUCUCUGUAGCAAAGAUAAGCAAUGUAAAAUGUCUUCUUGUAGUACUUCAAAUACUGAUACUUCAUCAGCCCAAUCAUCUCGUCCCAUCAGCAUUUUAUUCAAAUUUUGCUUGGACAUGGAAAAGCUCAAUAUGUUCAUUGUACCAAAUUAAAGGUGUUGACAAGGAUGCAUCUAUACGUGUUACAUUGGUUUCCAAUGUGCUUUUACAUCUAACAUGACUAUAAUAUUAUGAAAUCUUGAACUUUUUAAUAAUAAUUAAAUUGUUUGUGAUGAAACAUCUAUUAAAAUAAUAGGAUUUGAAAUUGUAAUUAGUUAAUUGUUUUGUCCCCUCGACUUCUAGUGUGCUUAGUUACCUUUGUUAAAUUGUGCUGAAGUGUUGGUCAA
Long non-coding RNA from Populus euphratica (Euphrates poplar), 794 nucleotides. RefSeq lists it as uncharacterized. The record is from RefSeq and is a predicted model, not a curated record. NCBI's taxonomy places the organism in Eukaryota, Viridiplantae, Streptophyta, Magnoliopsida, Malpighiales, Salicaceae. The transcript has 5 exons.